Molecule: ribosomal RNA, 378 nt
Filed under: uncultured bacterium
Lineage: Bacteria
Description: partial 16S ribosomal RNA
Rfam family: Bacterial small subunit ribosomal RNA
Source: RNAcentral
CCUACGGGUGGCAGCAGUGAGGGAUAUUGGUCAAUGGGGGAAACCCUGAUCCAGCAACGCCGCGUGAGUGAAGACGGUCUUCGGAUUGUAAACCUCUGUCCUCUGUGAAGAUAAUGACGGUAGCAGAGUGGUAAGCUCCGGCAAACUACGUGCCAGCAGCCGCGGUAAUACGUAGGGAGCAGGCGUGAUCCGGUUUUAUGGGGUUUAAGGGUUGCGAAGGCGGCCUGUUAAGUCUGCGGUAAAAGCCCGGGGUUAAACCCAGGAGAGCAGUUGAAACUGGCGGGCUGGAGUUGGAUAGAAGUACGCGGAACGCGAGGUGUAGCGGUGAAAUGCUUAGAUAUAGCGAAGAACCCCGAUUGCGAAGGCAGCGUACCGGCU